RNAcentral lists this ribosomal RNA (492 nucleotides) under uncultured bacterium. RNAcentral's name for it is "partial 16S ribosomal RNA". It matches the Rfam family "Bacterial small subunit ribosomal RNA", at positions 29 to 507 of the family's 1533-position model. The record is from RNAcentral.
AGUGAACGCUGGCGGUAGGCCUAACACAUGCAAGUCGAACGGCAGCACCGUAAGAGCUUGCUCUUACGGGUGGAGAGUGGCGGACGGGUGCGGUAUAUAUCGGAAUCUACUUUUUCGUGGGGGCUAACGUAGGGAAACUUACGCUAAUAAAGCAUUCGACCUACGGGUGAAAGCCGGGGAUCUUCGGACCUUGUGCGAUUGAAUGAGCCGAGGUCGGGUUAGCUAGUUGGCGGGGUAAAGGCCCAGCAAGGCGACGAUCCGUAGGUGGUCUGAGAGGAUGAUCAGCCACACGGGAAGAGAGACACGGCCGAGACUCCGACGGGGGGCAGCAGUGGGGAAUAUUGGACAAGGGGCGCGAGCCUGAUCCAGCCAUACCGCGUGAGGGAAGAAGGCCUUCGGGUUGGAAAGUCCUUUUGUUGGGAAAGAAAAGCAGCAGUUUAAUACCCCGCUGUUCUGACGGUACCCAAAGAAUAAGCACCGGCUAACUUCGUG